This 2382-nucleotide small RNA is filed under the name Pongo abelii (Sumatran orangutan). Its description in RNAcentral is "processed transcript". The record is from RNAcentral. Lineage: Eukaryota; Metazoa; Chordata; Mammalia; Primates; Hominidae.
UCCGCGCCCACUGGUUGCUCGCUCCGGGGCAGGGCUCGCGAUAGCGAGCGGGAGCAGGGCGCGGGGCGGCACCGGGUCCGAAGCGAGGAAGCCGGAAGCCAGGCGCGGAGAGCCUCCCCCUUCGACUGCGGCCUCGCUUGGCGCCUUCUGCGCGCUUGGGAUCCCGGAGCCUACCUAGGUUCUGCGUGCUCCCGCCCAGGCCGGUGCCCGCUGCCCGCCUGCGCCCCAGGCGGGUCUCAGGCCCCGGCUGCUCCCGGCCGAAGCCCCGAGUGCGAGAUUGAGCGUCCUGAGCGCCUGACCGCAGCCCUGGACCGCCUGCGGCAGCGCGGCCUGGAACAGAGGUGUCUGCUGUUGUCAGCCCGCGAGGCCUCGGAAGAGGAGCUGGGCCUGGUGCACAGAGUACCUUUCACUGUGCGCGGCUGGCCGCAGGGGCUGGACUGCAGCUGGUGGACGCUGUGCUCACGGGAGCUGUGCAAAAUGGGCUUGCCCUGGUGAGGCCCCCAGGGCACCACAGCCAGAGGGCGGCUGCCAACGGGUUCUGUGUGUUCAACAACGUGGCCAUAGCAGCUGCACAUGCCAAGCAGAAACACGGGCUACACAGGAUCCUCGUCGUGGACUGGGAUGUGCAUCAUGGCCAGGGGAUCCAGUAUCUCUUUGAGGAUGACCCCAGCAUCCUUUACUUCUCCUGGCACCGCUAUGAGCAUGGGCGCUUCUGGCCUUUCCUGCGAGAGUCAGAUGCCGACGCAGUGGGGCGGGGACAGGGCCUCGGCUUCACUGUCAACCUGCCCUGGAACCAGGUCGGGAUGGGAAACGCUGACUACGUGGCUGCCUUCCUGCACCUGCUGCUCCCACUGGCCUUUGAGGAUUUGACUCAGCCAUCGGGGACCCUGAGGUGAGGGCCUUGCCUGGCCAGGGAGGGCUUCUGGGGUCCUGGGGCCCAGGUCCCCCAUCACACAUGGCUCUGGUUCCAGGGGCAAAUGCAGGCCACGCCAGAGUGCUUCGCCCACCUCACACAGCUGCUGCAGGUGCUGGCCGGCGGCCGGGUCUGCGCCGUGCUGGAGGGCGGCUACCACCUGGAGUCACUGGCGGAGUCAGUGUGCAUGACAGUACAGACGCUGUUGGGUGACCCGGCUCCACCCCUGUCAGGGUCAAUGGUGCCAUGUCAGAGGUGCGAGGGGAGGUAGGGCAGGCGGGGCUGGGGUGUGAGGCCAGGUGUCACGACUGUUGUGUCUCCCCCACAGUGCCCUGGAGUCCAUCCAGAGUGCCCGUGCUGCCCAGGCCCCGCACUGGAAGAGCCUCCAGCUGCAAGGUCAGUGUGGCCGGGUGCUAGGCUGCAGGAUCCCACCUCGGGCUCCCGUGCAGUGGCUAUGACUCCGAACUGUCCCUAGAUGUGACCCCUGUGCUGAUGAGCCCCAGCAUUCUCUCCCCAGAGGAGAGGCCUCCACCUCUGCUGCCUGGGGGUCCAGUGUGUAAGGGAGCUGCAUCUGCACCGAGCUCCCUCCUGGACCAGCCGUGCCUCUGCCCUGCACCCUCUGUCCGCACCGCUGUUGCCCUGACAGCACCAGAUAUCACAUUGGUCCUGCCCCCUGACGUCAUCCAACAGGAAGGGUCAGCCCUAAGGGAGGAGACAGAAGCCUGGGCCAGGCCACACGAGUCCCUGGCCCGGGAGGAGGCCCUCGCUGCACUUGGGAAGCUCCUGUACCUCUUAGAUGGGAUGCUGGAUGGGCAGGUGAACAGUGGUAUAGCAGCCACUCCAGCCUCUGCUGCAGCAGCCACCCUGGAUGUGGCUAUUCGGAGAGGCCUGUCUCAUGGAGCCCAGAGGCUGCUGUGUGUGGCCCUGGGACAGCUGGACCGGCCUCCGGACCUCGCCCAUGACGGGAGGAGUCUGUGGCUGAACAUCAGGGGCAAGGAGGCGGCUGCCCUAUCCAUGUUCCAUGUCUCCACGCCACUGCCAGCGAUGACCGGUGGUUUCCUGAGCUGCAUCUUGGGCUUGGUGCUGCCCCUGGCCUACAGCUUCCAGCCUGACCUGGUGCUGGUGGCGCUGGGGCCUGGCCAUGGCCUGCAGGGCCGCCACGCUGCACUCCUGGCUGCAAUGCUUCGGGGGCUGGCAGGGGGCCGAGUCCUGGCCCUCCUGGAGGAGGACUCCACGCCCCAGCUAGCAGGGAUCCUGGCCCGGGUGCUGAAUGGAGAGGCACCUCCUAGCCUAGGCGCUUCCUCUGUGGCCUCCCCAGAGGACGUCCGGGCUCUGAUGUACCUGAGAGGGCAGCUGGAGCCUCAGUGGAAGAUGUUGCAGUGCCAUCCUCACCUGGUGGCUUGAAAUCGGCCAAGGUGGGAGCAUUUACACCGCAGAAAUGACACCGCACGCCAGCGCCCCGCGGCCGC